AAGCACAGCGAUGUGUUCAGCCGAGUGGUACUAAUAGGUCGAGGGCUUGAU
This 51-nucleotide ribosomal RNA is filed under the name Actinomycetes bacterium. RNAcentral describes it as "Actinobacteria bacterium partial 23S ribosomal RNA". The record is from RNAcentral. Lineage: Bacteria; Bacillati; Actinomycetota; Actinomycetes.